This 585-nucleotide ribosomal RNA is filed under the name Xylodon nesporii. RNAcentral's name for it is "partial small subunit ribosomal RNA". It matches the Rfam family "Bacterial small subunit ribosomal RNA", at positions 401 to 949 of the family's 1533-position model. Lineage: Eukaryota; Fungi; Basidiomycota; Agaricomycetes; Hymenochaetales; Schizoporaceae. The record is from RNAcentral.
GCUACUGAAUCAACGGUGUGUCAUCGUUGAUAAAGUAAGGGAAAAGAAAUGAUACUACCUUACUAUUAGUGUCGUCCAAGUACUCGUGCCAGAAGACUCGGUAAGGCGAGAGACGCAAACGUUAGUCGUCCUAAUCAGGCGUAAAGGGUUUGUAGGCGGUUUUAAGCAUUUAAUCCUUUAAAAUCACAAUUUUAAUAAUAUUAAAAUAAAAAAGGAAGACAAUCAAUUAAAACUAGAAUCAAGAAGAGGUUAAAUUAAAUAAUACUUGGCGUAAGAUUGGUAUCUAUAGAGACCAAGUGGAAUAUUAACGGCGAAGGCUUUUUUCCAAUAAUGAUUGACGCUAAGAAACUAAGGUGAGGAUAGAAAAAAGGAUUAGAGACCCUAGUAUCCCUCACUGUCAACGAUGAAUGGUAGUUACUAGAUAUGUGAAUAUUUGAAUAUUCAUUACCCCCUAAAGGAGGGGUAAUCAAAAAUCUAGAGGCGAUGUUAACACGAAAACCAUUCCGCCUUGUGAGUACGACUGCAAAGUUGAAAACAAAAAAAUUAGUCGGUUUCGGAGCAAACGGAGUGAAGCAUGUUAUUUAA